CACGUAGGGCGCGAGCGUUGUCCGGAAUUAUUGGGCGUAAAGAGCUCGUAGGCGGCCUGUUGCGUCCGCUGUGAAAGCCCGGGGCUUAACCCCGGGUCGGCAGUGGAUACGGGCAGGCUAGAGGUAGGUAGGGGAGAAUGGAAUUCCCGGUGUAGCGGUGAAAUGCGUAGAGAUCCGGAAGAACACCGGUGGCGAAGGCGGUCUGCUGGGCAGUUGCUGACACUGAGGCGCGACAGCGUGGGGAGCAAACAGG
Molecule: ribosomal RNA, 253 nt
Filed under: uncultured bacterium
Lineage: Bacteria
Description: partial 16S ribosomal RNA
Rfam family: Bacterial small subunit ribosomal RNA
Source: RNAcentral